This 497-nucleotide long non-coding RNA is filed under the name Trifolium pratense (red clover). Its description in RNAcentral is "long non-coding RNA (TPRA_LNC003232)". The record is from RNAcentral. Lineage: Eukaryota; Viridiplantae; Streptophyta; Magnoliopsida; Fabales; Fabaceae.
CAAGGUUUUAAAUUGCGGACCGCAUCACCUGAUGCGGCCGCAAUAUUGCGGAUGCGGUAGGCAGGCACUGCAACCGCAUCGGACCGCAAUUGCGGUGUGAACUCAAAUCACACGUGAUGCCGCAACGCAACAGCAUUUCACCGCAACACAACGGAGUUUUGACUGCAACGGCCGCAACGGUUCAAUCCAAUAUUCCUUUUCGUAAAAAUUCAGAGAAUCUCACCUUUAUUUUUUCCUUUUAUGUCCUUUCAUUUUAGAGUUUCUGUCUUCUUAUGUCUCGAUGACUUAAAAAUGAAUUAAAAUUUAUAUAGAAUUAUAAGUAAAAGAUAUAUAAGGAAUUACAAUAAUUAUAGUAUUUUNNNNNNNNNNNNNNNNNNNAUAAAAAAUUAUUUCACGUCGCAACGGCCGCAAUUGCAUCGCAGUGUCCGCAUUAGCCGCAAUCGCAAUACCUGCAACCGCAACCGCAUCCACGACCGCAACCGCAAUUUAAAACCUUG